Long non-coding RNA from Girardinichthys multiradiatus, 4334 nucleotides. RefSeq lists it as uncharacterized. The transcript is spliced from 2 exons. The record is from RefSeq and is a predicted model, not a curated record. Lineage: Eukaryota; Metazoa; Chordata; Actinopteri; Cyprinodontiformes; Goodeidae.
ACGCACAAAAAAUGUGUUGUUAAUAGACUUUUGGGGGGUUUCUGAUGACAUAAUUUGAUGCAAUUUUGAUGUCAUGUCCAACUACGGUUUACAGAUUGGAAUUGAAAUCUCCAAAAAAUGUUAUACUCUGUUGUUGUAAUUACUCUAUUCCUUACAUAUUCCCCAGCCUACAGUGAUCCAGUAGUGAUGUUGACUUGAGCCUUCUGCUACAUGCAGACAGAAGAAGGUAACAGCAGAGGUUUGGCACUGCAGUGCUGUAGCUGCAGGAAAGAUGCAGCCUGCAGGGAUCUGAUGACUGUUUAUUGCUCAGGCUCUAAACAAAGAGCCGGGGUAGCCUGAGUGUGAUCAAUCUUUCCAGCCAAAAAGGUCUGACAGCUCCCUGCCAGAGAACACAUCUGAACCAUACAACACUUAGAUCAUAUGUGGCCAGGAAGAGGACAGACUAAGGGCUCUGAUUUUAUUUUAGUUCCUCCCAAAGAACGAAGCCUUUUAUGCACAAUCUCUAAACAUCAUCCACAUGCGGCUUGUAAAGAUUAAACCUCUUUUUUGUCGAAUGCAUAGGGGAAUUUCUGGGAUUUAUAAAGAUGGAGGUAAAACUUGGAAGCGCUCAAAGGUUUCUUGAAAGAAACGGAGCAGUUUUUUCAUUUAUGAUCAAUUGUUCGAUGAGAUUCUACAGCCACUCAAAGCCUUAUUUUCUGCUCUCUGUUGUCCACGCUUGAAGACGACGUUCUGGACGGACCAGGGAUCGCCUCGUUUCCCGUCUGCUCUGGGAGACAUCUGGGAGGCAAGCAAGCCAACAAACCUGCUUCCACGGACGGGGAGUCUCUACAGAGAAGAUAUUUCCCUCAUCAUGCAGCCGCAGAUGCUAUAUCCAUUAUAAGUAAUAAAAAUGCAAUAAAUAAAUCCGAAAUGACACAAGGGUGCGUCUGGGUUUUUAAAGUUUGCAAAAAUUAUUAAUUUCAUGGGAAAUAUGGACUCUUCUACAACAUUUCUUACAUAAACAUGUGUGAUAGAUUCAUGGGUUAAUGUUUAAAUAACUGAUGUAAUAUAGAGAGAACAGUGAAGUGUUUAUGACGUGUUUUUCUUUUUUUUUUUUUUUUUUGGCAAAACGACCGGAAUUCUUUACAUAUGUCAAUUUAUUAUAUUCUUCCCGUUGAUAGAAAAUAAAAUAGGUAAAAGGAAAAAAUGCGCAUACACGUAAAGCGCACAUUAUCCAUCUGGAAGGUGCACACACUGCAAAGGGUGUGUUAAUGUGCGUGUGUUGAAAUCUAAGCCGUGUUUACGAGACGAUUUUCACAUUACAGUUUUAUUUAUGGAGCUUCUGGGCAACAUUAGUCUGUAAAUUUCAUUAUUCUGAGCUGGACAACAAAACUGUCAAUCUGGAACAGAACUGAGGACAUUUUUCAAUAUCGGAGUAGAGGAAUUAAAACCACACGAUAAAUAUUUGUAGAUGGAGACUCUGCCUGUGUUCAAGCAAAGGCCUCUGUGUUUAUAAGUAAAAUAACACCGACCCUUCCCAUAGGACAGUCAUCUACCUCUGGAACGUGUUGCAACACCAUUGCAUAUAGAAAUGGAACGUUAUUUUUCUCGCGUUUCUUUUACGUUUACUUUUACGCAUCAUUUAUUACGCAUCAUUUAAAACGCCACGCCUAAUAGGUUUGAAUUAAAAGCGCAGUGCUGGGUGUCAUUCUAUCACAUCAUGCCAAAACCUACACAGAACACCAUCGCUGCGACCGAGAAAAUCCUGAAGAGUUAGUUUUAUUUAUUUAUUGCCCCCGAAAUAAUUACUAAAUAGGAUUUAAUAGAUCUGCAGCAAAAAUUGAAAUGUAUUAAUAAUAAUAAUAAUAAUAAUAAGAAGAAGAUUUUAGGUUCUCAAAUAUACUAGUCUGAGUUAUAAAAACAGCAACUUUGGGGAUAAAUCCUGUAUCCUUUAUGCCAAAUAAACCCCUAAUAGCACAGGGGAAACCCUCAUCCUUCUGAUCCCAGACUGACUGCUGACAUGUGGCUGGGACUUUUCCUCCUGAACUCUCCCCUUCCCCUCCAAAAGGGCUUCCUCUGUCACUGUUAGUGUCGUGAGGUGUGAUGAAUAGGGGGCCUGUAAAGGUCGCUGCAAACUUCCUAGCAACUUUCUGUUUUUCCGCAGCAUGGCUCCUGACAUUGCUGUUUGCUCGGGAGAAUGUCCAGGCCUAGCAUUCGUUGGUGUGUUAUUUGUGAUUUUUGGCACAUAUGAAUAUCAGCUCUCGUGUCCAAGACAAAGGAAUUAUAGAAUGAAUGUGCCACCUGACCUUUUGAGGUCACAGAGUAGGAGUAGCUAAGGAGUAAGGAGAGAGGAUCAAUUUACACAGAAAGGAAACGAAAGGUUUCUCUUUUUUAAUUACAAAAGGCGGAAGUAUUGUUGCAGUAUUUUCCAGAAUACUGCAAAAUACUCUGAGUUGCUGAGACAUCGGACGUUGGGCGUUGAUGGAUUUAUUUUAUGAAAGAAAAUGUCUAUGAAAUAAAACAGAAAACACCAUAGAUCAGUUUAUGAUUAGAGAUUCCAAGCGGAGCUCAGCAUUCCAACGCUUGUGUGCCUUGAACGCAUCAUCCGGUCACCAAAUGAACCGUUGGCUCCCCCUGCUGGUUGUGUGAGCGAAGCAGCACUGAGCUCAGCAGAGAACAAAGCCUUCACUGCAUCAUCACAAAGUAUUAGUGUUCGACUCUUUAACGUACAUCUGCUCCAUCAGUGCCACUUUUCUGAUGGAGUUGGCCAUUUUUUCGUUUGUAAGAUGAGAAAAAUAUAUACGCUUAAAGGUUUUCUCGACAUGUAAAAGUUGUUUUUCUUCCCCCUUUGCUUUUCCAAAGAGCUCAGGGCACAAAAAGAAAAACAACAAACGGGUGUCUCUGCUCUGACACAGUGGAAUUGCUGCUACACGGUUGUAAAGUAAUUACACCUUUGAAGGCAGACCCAUAUGCAUUCCUGUCUGUGGCACCCUGCACCACUCUCUGUGUGGGGGUCUCUGUCUCUGUUGGCACCCAUCUACUUCAUUCUAACACUGUCCAAGAUUUGCUUGGAGGAAGCAAGUCAGAAAUGCCACCAAGCCUCCGCAUGCUGCGUUUUUUUCGCACCUUAUAAACAGUCAGGGUAUGUUAGUUGGAGAAGGCAGUUUAUAGAGCGAAGAGGGAGCACAUAUUUCAGAAAAGCCUGCAGAGACGCCGUGAAUCAGAACAUUACUGCGUCAAUAUUACUGGUCUAAUUUGUUUAACAACGUAAAGGCCCAGAUACUUUUAUUUGAAGAAAUUCCUUUUGAAAUAAUCUGUUUUUAAAACAUUUAUAAGAUUUAGCUGAAUAAGAAAUCGCAACAAAGAAUGGACAAUAAAACAAAAUAAAAUUUUUGAACAUGUUUCAGUCAGACAAUGAUUCCCAUUAACGGUAUAAAAAUAGCCCUUAUAUGAGUUAACGUAAUUGCUAACUUUGCUUCUGGCACUUCAUGCCACCAAGCUGAAAUUAAUUCUUUCUGAAUAAGAAAAAAAAACUAAAAUAUGUAACAACAAAUUCAGAAAGAAAAAUUAUAAAAGUACUGAAAAUGUAAACUAUGGAAAAAGUUAUUGAACAUGUUUUGGUCAGUCAGUAAUUUCCAUCAGCUUUACAAUAACAGCACAGUUUUGUUAAAUUCUUCUGCCAAUUCACGCCAACAACCCUAAAUGAACAUUUUCUGAAUAAUAAAAAUAACAUGGGCGCAUAUCUUCCCUAACACUCUUACCUUUCAAGCCAGUAGCUUAAAUUCUAGAUAAAAACAAAACUGAGUUUUUUUGUGACACGGUUAAUCCCAGAAGAAGAAAAUAACAUGUUUUAAAGAUGUUUUUGGAUUCUCUUUACCCAAAGAGGCAUUUUUCCUCAGUUGAAAUACUUUCUUACAUUAGAAAUGAAACAUUUUAUUUGUAUUAAACCUCUCCAUAUCUGUAUUAUAAAUAUGCGGAAAUAUUAUGCAACAUGGCAACAAAUCACUGUGAUAUAACAGAUGUGUGAUACAAACUACACUUUAUUUUUAAUAAAAUCCGUACUGAUGAGGUAUUUCAAGUGUGUGCAGGGUUUUCACAAAUGCUUCCAAACACUUAAACACACAAGACCGCAAAAAAUAAGUUAAUCAAUGCAAAUAGGUAGCUGCAGGAUAUCCAGGUAGUCAAGUAUAUGUUCAUGCAAAGAAUAAAGGGCCUACUGAGUCAACAAUGCGCGCAAAAUACAAGACAUCUAAAUCCACAACGAGACACAAACACAGAAAAUCGGCGAAAAUGGAAAAAAAAAGACACCCAGUGUUGUUUUAACAACACUAAUUUACAACAACACGUACAAGGAA